Molecule: ribosomal RNA, 468 nt
Filed under: uncultured bacterium
Lineage: Bacteria
Description: partial 16S ribosomal RNA
Rfam family: Bacterial small subunit ribosomal RNA
Source: RNAcentral
GAUGAACGCUGGCGGCGUGCUUAAUACAUGCAAGUCGAACGGAAAUUCUUUGUUUUUGUGGGGUUCUCGUGUCCCAUACGGGUUUGUAACACGAGAGUAACCUUCACUCGACUUUGGGAUAACUUCAGGAAACUGGUGCUAAUACCGGACAGGUGCUCCUGCUGCAUGGCCGUGGUUGGAAAGUUUGGGCGGUUUGGGAUGGACGCGUGGUAUAUCAGCUGGUUGGUGGGGUAGUGGAUUACCAAGGCUUUGACGGGUAGCCGACAUGAGGAGGUGAACAGCGACAAUGGGACUAAGAGACGGCGCAGACGCGUACGGGAGGCAAUAGUGGGGAGUAUGACAGAGUGGGCGGAAGCCGGAUGCAGAGACGCCGCGUGCGGGAUGACGGCCUUCGGGUGGUAAACGGCUGUCAGCGGUGACGAAGCGGGAGUGACGGUAAUGAAUAAAGAAGCACCGGCUAAAUACGUG